AGAUUGAACGCUGGCGGCAUGCCUUACACAUGCAAGUCGAACGGCAGCACGGGAGCAAUCCUGGUGGCGAGUGGCGAACGGGUGAGUAAUACAUCGGAACGUGCCCAAUCGUGGGGGAUAACGCAGCGAAAGCUGUGCUAAUACCGCAUAAGAUCUACGGAUGAAAGCAGGGGAUCGCAAGACCUUGCGCGAAUGGGAGCGGCCGAUGGCAGAUUAGGUAGUUGGUGAGGUAAAGGCUCACCAAGCCUUCGAUCUGUAGCUGGUCUGAGAGGACGACCAGCCACACUGGGACUGGAGACACGGCCCAGACCUCCUACGGGAGGCAGCAGGUGGGGAAUUUUGGACAAGUGGGACGAAGCCUGAUCCAGCCAUCGCCGCGU
This 380-nucleotide ribosomal RNA is filed under the name uncultured soil bacterium. Its description in RNAcentral is "bacterial SSU rRNA". It matches the Rfam family "Bacterial small subunit ribosomal RNA", at positions 26 to 402 of the family's 1533-position model. The record is from RNAcentral.